GACGAACCGUGCGAACGUUAUUCGGAAUCACUGGGCUUAAAGGGCGCGUAGGCGGGUUUGCAAGUCUGCGGUGAAAGCCUCCAGCUUAACUGGAGAAGUGCCGUGGAUACUGCGAAUCUCGAGGAGGGUAGGGGCAUCUGGAACGUUGGGUGGAGCGGUGAAAUGCGUUGAUAUCCAACGGAACUCCGGUGGCGAAGGCGAGGUGCUGGACCCUUUCUGACGCUGAGGCGCGAAAGCCAGGGGAGCGAACGGG
This 253-nucleotide ribosomal RNA is filed under the name uncultured bacterium. RNAcentral describes it as "partial 16S ribosomal RNA". It matches the Rfam family "Bacterial small subunit ribosomal RNA", at positions 524 to 776 of the family's 1533-position model. The record is from RNAcentral.